UCCAGGGUAGCCUAGUGGACAUGGCAUCUGCCCCGGUAAGCGGAACAUUGUGGGUUCGAUUCCCAUCCCUGGAC
Molecule: non-coding RNA, 74 nt
Organism: Cordylochernes scorpioides
Lineage: Eukaryota; Metazoa; Arthropoda; Arachnida; Pseudoscorpiones; Chernetidae
Source: the annotation of a GenBank genome assembly